RNAcentral lists this ribosomal RNA (798 nucleotides) under uncultured Bacillota bacterium. RNAcentral's name for it is "bacterial SSU rRNA". It matches the Rfam family "Bacterial small subunit ribosomal RNA", at positions 71 to 902 of the family's 1533-position model. The record is from RNAcentral. Lineage: Bacteria; Bacillati; Bacillota.
AAAGUGGAGCAAUCCAUGAGUACAGUGGCGUACGGGUGAGUAACACGUGGGUAAUCUACCUCUUAGUGGGGAAUAACCAGGGGAAACUCUGGCUAAUACCGCAUAAGCCUGAGAAGGGAAAGCAGCAAUGCGCUGAGAGAGGAGCCCGCGGCCGAUUAGCUAGUUGGUGGGGUAAGAGCCCACCAAGGCAGAGAUCGGUAGCCGGCCUGAGAGGGCACACGGCCACACUGGCACUGAAACACGGGCCAGACUCCUACGGGAGGCAGCAGUGGGGAAUCUUGCACAAUGGGGGAAACCCUGAUGCAGCGACGCCGCGUGAGCGAUGAAGCCCUUCGGGGUGUAAAGCUCUUUCGUCAGGGACGAUAAUGACGGUACCUGGAGAAGCAGCUGCGGCUAACUACGUGCCAGCAGCCGCGGUAAUACGUAGGCAGCAAGCGUUGUUCGGAGUUACUGGGCGUAAAGGGUGUGUAGGCGGUUCUUUAAGUUUGGUGUGAAAUCUCCCGGCUCAACUGGGAGGGUGCGCCGAAUACUGAGGGACUAGAGUACGGGAGAGGAAAGUGGAAUUCCUGGUGUAGCGGUGAAAUGCGUAGAUAUCAGGAGGAACACCGGUGGUGUAGACGGCUUUCUGGACCGUAACUGACGCUGAGACACGAAAGCGUGGGUAGCAAACAGGAUUAGAUACCCUGGUAGUCCACGCCCUAAACGAUGCAUAUUUGGUGUGGGCAGUUCAUUCUGUCCGUGCCGGAGCUAACGCGUUAAAUAUGCCGCCUGGGGAGUACAGUCGCAAGGCUGAAACUC